RNAcentral lists this ribosomal RNA (616 nucleotides) under uncultured Legionella sp. RNAcentral's name for it is "bacterial SSU rRNA". It matches the Rfam family "Bacterial small subunit ribosomal RNA", at positions 242 to 849 of the family's 1533-position model. The record is from RNAcentral. Lineage: Bacteria; Pseudomonadati; Pseudomonadota; Gammaproteobacteria; Legionellales; Legionellaceae.
UAGCUAGUUGGUGGGGUAAGGGCCUACCAAGGCGACGAUCGGUAGCUGGUCUGAGAGGAUGACCAGCCACACUGGAACUGAGACACGGUCCAGACUCCUACGGGAGGCAGCAGUGGGGAAUAUUGGACAAUGGGGGGAACCCUGAUCCAGCAAUGCCGCGUGUGUGAAGAAGGCCUGAGGGUUGUAAAGCACUUUCAGUGGGGAGGAGGGUUGAUAGGUUAAGAGCUAAUUAACUGGACGUUACCCACAGAAGAAGCACCGGCUAACUCCGUGCCAGCAGCCGCGGUAAUACGGAGGGUGCGAGCGUUAAUCGGAAUUACUGGGCGUAAAGCGUGCGUAGGUGGUUGAUUAAGUUAUCUGUGAAAUCCCUGGGCUUAACCUGGGCAGGUCAGAUGAUACUGGUUGACUCGAGUAUGGGAGAGGGUAGCGGAAUUUCCGGUGUAGCGGUGAAAUGCGUAGAGAUCGGAAGGAACACCAGUGGCGAAGGCGGCUACCUGGCCUAAUACUGACACUGAGGCACGAAAGCGUGGGGAGCAAACAGGAUUAGAUACCCUGGUAGUCCACGCUGUAAACGAUGUCAACUAGCUGUUGGUUAUAUGAAAAUAAUUAGUGGCGC